Molecule: small nuclear RNA, 107 nt
Filed under: Pan paniscus (pygmy chimpanzee)
Lineage: Eukaryota; Metazoa; Chordata; Mammalia; Primates; Hominidae
Source: RNAcentral
AUGCUUGCUUUGGCAGCACAUAUACUAAAUUUGGAAUGAUAGAGAGAAGAUUAGCAUGGCCCCUGUGCAAGGAUGACACACAAAUUCAUGAAGCAUUCCAUUAAAAA